AUGUCUACUGGGGCCAAGCCCAGGCUUGGCUGUGAGUGCUCAGGUGCUGUGGGGGGUUCCUCUCAGUGGUGUUGUAUUUCCCUCUGAGUCAGGACCCAACCCAAGCCCCUUAAUUAGGUGACUGUGAAGAGCUGCCAUCAUGUUCUUCUCGCAAGAGAGCUGUGCUUCAGCCUUUCAGUGUUAUGAUGUACCCAGCUGGUCCAGGAUCUGGUGACUCCCCAGAAGUCUUCCCUGAACAACCAAGGCUCCAGCCACAAACUGGAAAUCGUGCAACUCAGACACUGGAUGCUUUCUUCACAUGUCGAAAAAAUGUCCUUCUGGCGAACAGCUCAUCCCCCCAGGUAGAGGGCGACUUUGCCAUGGCCCCUCGGGGCCCUGACCAGGAGGAAUGUGAGGGCCUGCUGCAGCAGUGGCGAGAAGAAGGGUUGAGCCAGGUGCUCUCAACUGCAAGUGAGGGGCCCCUUAUAGAUAAAGGACUAGCCCAGAGCAGCCUGGCACUUCUGAUGGAUAAUCCUGGAGAAGAGAAUGCUGCUUCAGAGGACAGGUGGUCCAGCAGGCAGCUGAGUGACCUUCGGGC
This 577-nucleotide small RNA is filed under the name Pan troglodytes (chimpanzee). RNAcentral's name for it is "processed transcript". The record is from RNAcentral. Lineage: Eukaryota; Metazoa; Chordata; Mammalia; Primates; Hominidae.